RNAcentral lists this unclassified non-coding RNA (23 nucleotides) under Mus musculus (house mouse). RNAcentral's name for it is "oocyte_clustered_small_RNA4600". Lineage: Eukaryota; Metazoa; Chordata; Mammalia; Rodentia; Muridae. The record is from RNAcentral.
UCUGGAGCCAGCCUGUAGUCAAC